RNAcentral lists this ribosomal RNA (476 nucleotides) under Streptococcus sp. oral taxon C65. RNAcentral describes it as "bacterial SSU rRNA". It matches the Rfam family "Bacterial small subunit ribosomal RNA", at positions 43 to 500 of the family's 1533-position model. The record is from RNAcentral. Lineage: Bacteria; Bacillati; Bacillota; Bacilli; Lactobacillales; Streptococcaceae.
CGGGCGUCUUAACAUGCAAUUAGAACGCUGAAGAGAGGAGCUUGCUCUUCUUGGAUGAGUUGCGAACGGGUGAGUAACGCGUAGGUAACCUGCCUUGUAGCGGGGGAUAACUAUUGGAAACGAUAGCUAAUACCGCAUAACAAUGGAUGGCACAUGUCAUUUAUUUGAAAGGGGCAAUUGCUCCACUACAAGAUGGACCUGCGUUGUAUUAGCUAGUAGGUGAGGUAAUGGCUCACCUAGGCGACGAUACAUAGCCGACCUGAGAGGGUGAUCGGCCACACUGGGACUGAGACACGGCCCAGACUCCUACGGGAGGCAGCAGUAGGGAAUCUUCGGCAAUGGGGGCAACCCUGUCCGAGCAACGCCGCGUGAGUGAAGAAGGUUUUCGGAUCGUAAAGCUCUGUUGUAAGUCAAGAACGGGUGUGAGAGUGGAAAGUUCACACUGUGACGGUAGCUUACCAGAAAGGGACGGCUAA